CAGCACAUAGCUGGCUCUCCAAUAUACUGCCUCCUUCCUAUCUUGACGAUAUUGGUGCUGCAGCAUCUUCAGAUGUUAGGCCAGCUUUUUUUGCAGUGAGGUAGAACAACUGUGGACGUCACAGGGUUGCAGCAGAGAACAAGCCGAAUGGUUUGAUUCCAGAGAGCCUGAAGGAAAGGCUAAGCAGAAACUAGCAGGUUGUUCCAUCAAGACAAUGGAAUAUGAGAAUUGAAGAGAUAACAGAAAAGGAGACCUGUUCAUUUACAAUGAAUACAUUUUAAAAAGACCAUCUGAUAAUUUUGCCUUUGUAGAUUGGAAAAUACUGGGAAGCACACUAGGAAGCUUGAAGGCCAGCCAUGGAAACAAGAAACAGAUCCAAAGCAGAAGCUAAAGAAUCCCCCAAGUCUACCAUGACAAAGGCAAAUGCUGGUGCUGGGGAUAAGAAGGAAUUUCCCAGCAAGCAGCCUGAGCCCACCAAUGUUCCCAAGAAGCCAGCCGCUGAGGCCACUGCAGUGGGUGAGCCGAAGCCUGCAGGGGAUAGCUCAGUGACACUACCCGCCGCCGGCUUGGAAAGCAGCAAGGCAGCAGAGCCCCAGCCGGACACCCAGGGCAUCAAGGAAGACGCAUCCGACGGGCAGUCCAGCAACUUGUUUGAGAAUAUGAAGCCCUAUAUACUGGGAGGGGCUGCCAUCACAGCUCUUGCAGUCCUAGUAGGUGUGUUCUUCAUCCUACACAAGAAAUAAAGAAAAUGUAUAAAACUGUAUAUUGAUAUUGGUUAUUUUAUGCAUGUGUGUACAUUGGAGGAAUAUCUUCUGAACCAGUACUUGUACAACUGUGCUCACCACUAUAAUCUUGGGUUAACGUGAUUGUAUUUAACUCACAGUGUCCAUGCGCAUUGCAAAACAUCUGGAUUAACUUGUAUAUUGUAAAAGUUGACUCUCCACCCCCACCCCUCCAUCCCCCACCUUUCUGCAGAACUUAUGCCGGUGUUACAUGAGCCACACUUGUUCCCUUGCUAGCUUCCCACUGAAAAUUUUCACACACUGUAGAUCUCCCCCCUCUAAGCGUUGAGUGUUUAUCUAGUAGGAGGCCUUGUAAAGCUAUUCAUUUCUCUUGUAGCGAAUACAAUAAGAUGCAUUUCAGCAGCAUGUAAGACAAAUUUUUAUCCCCUGGGCCCAUCUUGCGUACACACAUGCCUCUUUCGCUCGACUUUGCUACAAUCAUCAGUCUCAGCAACCACAACAAACAAAAUAACUUUAAUUGGAUCGAGGUGAUGAACAGAAGCUUCAACACUGUCGGUAAAAAGAAAACAACAAGGCGAAAGCAAUAAAACCAAGUUCACCCUGGACUCCCAUUCCUUCUAGAAUUUACUAGUAGAUUCUCUGUGUGAUUUGUUCUUGGGCCCACAAUAGUAUUUAAUUCAAAUGAUGAUGUCACAUUUACUUUGACUUAAAACAAGCGUAUACAUGCAAUAAAAGUUAUGUUUAAAAAAAAACAAAUUACUAGUUGAAAGUUGAUAAUAGGUAGAGUAGCUGUGACCCAGGCUGCUGCUAAUGUACCCAUCCCUCCUUUAUUCAUAUACUCUGGACACUGCUUGUUAUUUUAAGUGUUGUAUCAGCUUUUAUGUGAACAGUAAGGUUGCCUAACAGAUGUGUUGUAUGUGUAUUAUGUAUUCUUUAUUCUGUACAUAAUAAACUAUCGGUCAGAUUUUAAUGUCUGGCUACCCAAUUGCUCCAAGGAAUGUGAUUAAAUAAAAUAACAUUUCUGAAAGUUAAA
Molecule: long non-coding RNA, 1776 nt
Organism: Pristis pectinata (smalltooth sawfish)
Lineage: Eukaryota; Metazoa; Chordata; Chondrichthyes; Rhinopristiformes; Pristidae
Exons: 2
Source: RefSeq, a predicted model, not a curated record